GGCUUAGAGUUUGAUCAUGGCUCAGGACGAACGCUGGCGGCGCGCCUAACACAUGCAAGUCGAACGGAAUGCGGGGAGGAUUUAUCUUUUCUGUGUUUAGUGGCGAACGGGUGAGUAACGCGUGAGGAACCUGCCUCAAAGAGGGGGACAACAGUUGGAAACGACUGCUAAUACCGCAUAAGCCCACGGGGCCGCAUGGCCCUGAGGGAAAAGGAGCAAUCCGCUUUGAGAUGGCCUCGCGUCCGAUUAGCUGGUUGGUGAGGUAACGGCCCACCAAGGCGACGAUCGGUAGCCGGACUGAGAGGUUGAACGGCCACAUUGGGACUGAGACACGGCCCAGACUCCUACGGGAGGCAGCAGUGGGGAAUAUUGCACAAUGGGGGAAACCCUGAUGCAGCGACGCCGCGUGGAGGAAGAAGGUCUUCGGAUUGUAAACUCCUGUUGUUGGGGAAAAGAAGGAUGGUACCCAACAAGGAAGUGACGGCUAACUACGUGCCAGCAGCCGCGGUAAAACGUAGGUCACGAGCGUUGUCCGGAAUUACUGGGUGUAAAGGGAGCGCAGGCGGGUAUGCAAGUUGGGAGUGAAAUGCAUGGGCUCAACCCAUGAACUGCUCUCAAAACUGUGUAUCUUGAGUAGUGCAGAGGUAGGCGGAAUUCCCGGUGUAGCGGUGGAAUGCGUAGAUAUCGGGAGGAACACCAGUGGCGAAGGCGGCCUACUGGGCACCAACUGACGCUGAGGCUCGAAAGUGUGGGUAGCAAACAGGAUUAGAUACCCUGGUAGUCCACACCGUAAACGAUGAUCACUAGGUGUUGGAGGAUAGACCCCUUCAGUGCCGCAGUUAACACAAUAA
Molecule: ribosomal RNA, 851 nt
Filed under: uncultured organism
Description: bacterial SSU rRNA
Rfam family: Bacterial small subunit ribosomal RNA
Source: RNAcentral